GAAAAUAAUGUCUCAUUUGUGAGAUUGAAAAUUUGAAAACAUUCUUAUUAUGGUAGCAAACUUCAAAUAUGUUCAGGCUGCCUCUCAGCGGUUUUACCUUCAACUUUUUGUAUCAUGGUAUGGAA
Long non-coding RNA from Rhagoletis zephyria (snowberry fruit fly), 125 nucleotides. RefSeq lists it as uncharacterized. The record is from RefSeq and is a predicted model, not a curated record. Lineage: Eukaryota; Metazoa; Arthropoda; Insecta; Diptera; Tephritidae.